AUUGAACGCUGGCGGCAGGCCUAACACAUGCAAGUCGAGCGGCAGCGGAAAGUAGCUUGCUACUUUGCCGGCGAGCGGCGGACGGGUGAGUAAUGUCUGGGAAACUGCCUGAUGGAGAGGGAUAACUACUGGAAACGGUAGCUAAUACCGCAUAACGUCGCAAGACCAAAGAGGGGGACCUUCGGGCCUCUUGCCAUCAGAUGUGCCCAGAUGGGAUUAGCUAGUAGGUGGGGUAACGGCUCACCUAGGCGAUGAUCCCUAGCUGGUCUGAGAGGAUGACCAGCCACACUGGAACUGAGACACGGUCCAGACUCCUACGGGAGGCAGCAGUGGGGAAUAUUGCACAAUGGGCGCAAGCCUGAUGCAGCCAUGCCGCGUGUAUGAAGAAGGCCUUCGGGUUGUAAAGUACUUUCAGCGGGGAGGAAGGUGCUGAGGUUAAUAACCUCAGCAAUUGACGUUACCCGCAGAAGAAGCACCGGCUAACUCCGUGCCAGCCGCCGCCGUAA
RNAcentral lists this ribosomal RNA (506 nucleotides) under uncultured bacterium. RNAcentral's name for it is "partial 16S ribosomal RNA". It matches the Rfam family "Bacterial small subunit ribosomal RNA", at positions 30 to 523 of the family's 1533-position model. The record is from RNAcentral.